RNAcentral lists this long non-coding RNA (1749 nucleotides) under Brassica napus (rape). RNAcentral describes it as "long non-coding RNA (BNAP_LNC025525)". The record is from RNAcentral. Lineage: Eukaryota; Viridiplantae; Streptophyta; Magnoliopsida; Brassicales; Brassicaceae.
AGUGCUCAUACCGACGCACGAAACUGGAAUAAAAACUAUAAUAACCCUUUCUUUAAAAAAAAAAAAGAAGAUCUAUUCGAAAGAAGAAGGUUAAUGAAUGAUAUGAAUGUGGAGAUCAAAGACAAAGGCGAGCCACUUUUAUAGGAUCAAAAGAGUUUGACCAUGGAUGGAGUUUGUAAUCAAAUUUCAAAAACCAGAGAGAGAGAAAAGAGAGAGUAACCAGUUAAGCUACGAGGUGGUAGGGAAUGGUGGUUUUGGCAAGGGAGAAUAUUGUGGGUGGGUAUGUAUGAUUAAAAGGGUGACUUGAUCAAUCAAACCAUGUGGCGGUUUUUGACGGGUUUUGCCGCAAUAAUAAACUUUGGUUUCAUCAAUUUAAGAAUCUCUAGUAUACCGUAUUCUACGAGGACGAUGCCUCUUUUUGACAAAUCACCGUAACGGCGACGAUGACUACUUGAUAGAGAAAGGUCGAUAUUUUUCUAGAAAAGGAGACUAUUAAUUUAAUGUUUUUUGUAUUUAGUUACCUACCGUACUUGGGUUGUUUUUUUGUUUCCAAUCUUUGGGACUUGUUUGACAAGUCUUUUUUUUUUUGGGGUUCGGUUUGAUGUAUUUUUGGGUUUAUGAGGUUUUUAUUCAAAAUACUACACACAUUUUAAAACUGUAUAAAGAUGGUGGUGUGUUUGUAUAUGUCCAUCUAAACUUCUUGUUAUUGGUUUAUCAAAAAAAAUAUUCCAUUAACAUGAAAGUAAACAAAUACGUUUGGUAACUAGUAUUGAAUUAGGAGAGAUUGGAUACCCGAACCCGAAUGGAUAAUAUCCGAACCCGAAUGGAUAUCCGAAGAUAACCGAACAUAUGUAUAAUUAACCUUAUAUUUCUAGUUUACAUCUCUUAUUUUAUAUAAAAUAUUUAUAUUAAUACUACACAUACUUUAAGUUCAUAUGAUAUACAUGCAAUUACGGAAAAAAUGAUUUGGUACUCACUUAAAAAGCAUGUCAAGUUUUUUUAUUUCAAAAAUUAACAAAAAGUUACAUCCAAAAUUUUAAAACAAUAACUAAAUUAAUGCAUUUUUAGUUUUAAAAUAUUAUGUCCAAAUCUAUUAACCAUUUAAUCUAUUAAAAAUAAAAUAAAAAGUUAAGUAAAAUUUAUAUUCUUAAAUACAAGAAAUUUAAGAAAUGAAAAAUUUAAUUUUUUUUCAAAAUCUAAAUAUCCGAACCCGAUAGGAAAUAACCGAAACCGAACUAAAAAUACCCGAACCCGACCCGAAGUAUAGAAAUACCCGAACGGGUCCUACACCUCUAUACCGAAAUACCCGAAAAUCCGAAAUACCCGACCCGAACCCGAACGGGUACCCGAACGCCCACCCCUAUUCAUUGGCAAUCUUUUUUUGUACCAUAAAACUUAAAAAUAUAUAUAAUAAAAAAAAUUUCAAAUGGGGAUCCAGAAAAAUUUGGGGGCCCAAAGCCUGUGCUUCACCUCGCUGUGCCGAGGGACGCCCCUGACCACAAGAACCAGUUAUGAUCUUCGGCUUGCUGCUCUCCACAGUGCUCAUACCGACGCACGAAACUGGAAUAAAAACUAUAAUAACCCUUUCUUUAAAAAAAAAAAAGAAGAUCUAUUCGAAAGAAGAAGGUUAAUGAAUGAUAUGAAUGUGGAGAUCAAAGACAAAGGCGAGCCACUUUUAUAGGAUCAAAAGAGUUUGACCAUGGAUGGAGUUUGUAAUCAAAUUUCAAAAACCAGAGAGAGAGAAAAGAG